GAUGAACGCUAGCGGGAGGCCUAACACAUGCAAGCCGAGCGGUAUUUGUUCUUCGGAACAGAGAGAGCGGCGCACGGGUGCGGAACACGUGUGCAACCUGCCCUUAUCUGGGGGAUAGCCUUUCGAAAGGAAGAUUAAUACCCCAUAAUAUAUUGAGUGGCAUCAUUUGAUAUUGAAAACUCCGGUGGAUAGAGAUGGGCACGCGCAAGAUUAGAUAGUUGGUGAGGUAACGGCUCACCAAGUCAAUGAUCUUUAGGGGGCCUGAGAGGGUGAUCCCCCACACUGGUACUGAGACACGGACCAGACUCCUACGGGAGGCAGCAGUGAGGAAUAUUGGACAAUGGGUUAGCGCCUGAUCCAGCCAUCCCGCGUGAAGGACGACGGCCCUAUGGGUUGUAAACUUCUUUUGUAUAGGGAUAAACCUACUCUCGUGAGAGUAGCUGAAGGUACUAUACGAAUAAGCACCGGCUAACUCCGUG
RNAcentral lists this ribosomal RNA (479 nucleotides) under uncultured bacterium. RNAcentral describes it as "partial 16S ribosomal RNA". It matches the Rfam family "Bacterial small subunit ribosomal RNA", at positions 28 to 507 of the family's 1533-position model. The record is from RNAcentral.